This 2277-nucleotide long non-coding RNA is filed under the name Marmota monax (woodchuck). The record is from RNAcentral. Lineage: Eukaryota; Metazoa; Chordata; Mammalia; Rodentia; Sciuridae.
CUAAUCUCCAUAACUCUUUUCAUCUUUCUUGGGAGCUCUGCUCAUAAUCUUCAUUUGAAGUAGGUGGAGAAAAUAGAUAAGUGUAAAUAGAUCUCAAUGGCAGUCUGUAACUGCAAUGGUAAGAAAUUGAGAAAACACCAAACAGUAACCAAAUAACAAUCGAUUUUUAUUAUGAAAUAUAACAGAAGCAAAAAUGGACAAGACUUAGUGAAGUUACCACAAAGUAGGCAAUCUUUUAACCAUGAUCCCCAAGUCAGGAAAACAGAACAGUACUAAUAUUCCAGAAGCAUCCUCAUGAAAAACCUCCCAGAAACUGUCCUGUCCCACCUUCCUGGUCCAGAAGUUAAUCACUCUUUGCUUUUAUGGUAGUUUUAUUUCUGCUUUUACCACUUAAGUCUUUAUCUAAGUGUGUUUAGGUGCUUCUAUUCUUUGAACUACAUAAAUGGAAUAAGUAGAAUAUAUGUGUUUAGUAUUUAACUGCUUUUGCUUAGUAUUUGUGAAAAGCAUCCAGGUUCUUACACGGAACUAUAAGUUUAUUCAUUUUUAUUGAUACACAGUGUUCUCUUUCUCUCAAGCUUACUCUUAUCUGUUCUAUUGUUGAUGGACUACUGUAGUUUUCAGCUUGAAUAUAUUAUAAAUAAUGCUAUAUAAUGACAUCUCUCGGUGCUUAUGUGCAUGUAUUUCUGUGAUUAUUUGCCCCCAAAAUGGAAUUGCUGGGUUGUAUAUGAAAGUUUUUGUUGCUUCUACAUCCUUAUCAGUCCUUGUUGUUUUCGUUUAGUUAUCUCCUCCUGAGGGGCACAAAGUGAUUUCUGUUUAGUGUGCCUUCUUCCAGGUUGCUAGUGAAGUUGGCCAUUUGGAAAUCCCUGUUUUCUAAGGUACUGAUUAUUAUGCAUAUUUAGUUUUUUUAGUUAUGAGUAUAUAUCAUAUAUAUGAGGCCUUCAUUUGUGUUGCAGAUUUUCUAAGAAUAAUUUUAAUGUUUUUCCUCAAUCUUUUGUAUGUGUACAGCCUUGUUUAAAAAAAACUAUAGCUGCCUGUGGUGUUUCCCAGGAAAUUACUGCUUUACUUUUCAGUUUUGUGGAAUUCAUUUGUCUAGUAUCCUGUGAAUUGUUUUUGUUUCGAGUUUUGGGAAUAUGGAUACAUAAUUUUCCCAGCACCAUUUAUUGGAGGAAGAAAAAAAAAAUGUCCUUUUCCUAUGGCUCUGAAAUAUUCCUUGUGUAGUAAAUUGAAUUCCAUCAACUUUUUAUAUUCCAUAGAGUUCUUUGUAUGACUUAGUGUAGCUUUAAGAUAUAAGACAGAGGAGUACUCCUCACCUAGCUCUUUAAACUUGGAUUUUUCUGGGCCUUUGCUUUAACAUGUAAAUUUUAUAAUUAAGUUCCACCAAAAGAGAAAAACCUUGAGUUUUUGAUUGACUAUUCAGUUUAUAGAUCAAUUGGGGAAGAUUAACACCUUUAAAACAUUGAUACUUCUGACCAUGAAUAUAGCAUAUCCCUCAAUUUAUAUGGAUGCUAAGAGUUUUCAACAUGUUGUUUUUUAAUGUGUAAGUUUCUUAUGGUCAAUAUAAAGUUGACUUCUGUAUAUUGAAAUUGUAUUCAAAAACCUUGGUAAAACUCAUCCUACCACUGUAUUUCAAAGAUUUAUUGUGAUAUAUAACUCCUCAUAAUCUGGGAAUGAGGCUUUUUUUUCUCCCUUUAUAAUGGUUACAUUUCCUUGCAUAGAAAAGGUACUAUCGUUGUCCUCUGUUUCACAAAGAAUACCUUUUUAAGGGGAAAGGUACUAGGGAUCAAACCCAGGCCAUUUGUGCAUGCUAGGCAAGCACUGUACCACUGGUAGUUCACUUUGCACUAUGUUGUAGAUUUUCAGUAGGUACCUUUGAUCAAAUUAAGGACAUUGCCAUUUCCCACAUGUCUUUUAAUUGUAGGUGGACGCAAUACCUUUUAUAUGGUGCUGAGGAUCAAACCCAGCCCCUCAUGCAUGCUAGGUAGGCACUCUUCCACUGAGCCAUAACCCCAGUCCCCCCACUUUUUAAAUCAUGAAUGGCUUUCCUCAAGGUUUUUUUCUCUUAAGACUUUUGUUCAUACUGCUAAGAUAAACUUGUAUUUCUAGAAUCUGUUAGAAAUUACUUGUGAAACCAUUUGGGCCUGGAAAUUUCUUUGUACAAAGGUUUUAUUACUACACAAUAUUUUACAGGUGCAUGAUUAUCAGGGUUCUUGUAAGUUGUGCUUUCCAAGAAAAUUAUCUAUUUCAGUUAAUGUAAAAUUGUUUAUAGUGAUGUCCCCU